This is a long non-coding RNA of Gadus macrocephalus (Pacific cod), 1870 nucleotides long. RefSeq lists it as uncharacterized. The transcript is spliced from 3 exons. Lineage: Eukaryota; Metazoa; Chordata; Actinopteri; Gadiformes; Gadidae. The record is from RefSeq and is a predicted model, not a curated record.
GGACCCCGUCCAGCUGAGCCUCUGUCAUUUAAGCCAUUGGUCAGAUUCUCGUCGAUUGCCCAACCCGGGUUUGAGGGUACGCCUCCUUUUGGAAAUACGCAAAUAUAUUCAAAAGACUCUCCACCUGAUUGGUUCUCUGAUUAGUAUAGGACACGCCCCAUACACGUGCUUUUACUCUCCUCCCCAUUCUUUAGCUCUGGGCCGUGGACAGUAACUGGGCCGAGGCUGUAGUAACCGAAAAAAAGGUUGACCAUUGUGAACCUAAAAAUAGAUCAAGAAAUACCUAAUUAAAGUAAGGAUUGGCCACUUUCAACAACAUCCCAAGUCAAUGAGAUCAUCGAUUGGGUGUUUUACUUACAUAUGGCGACAUCGUUGGUAUAUAAACCGUUCACACAUUCCCCCCUCAUUUGGACCGCAUCCCAGAGGAGUGAUCCACUGCCAUGCUGUCAUAGUUAAGAAUAGAUCUGCUGCUGUACGCUGCAUUGGCCCUUUCACCCAGGCGUCCACAGCACACUGUGGUGUUGUUGAUAUGAAGGGAAACAGGUGUGGAAUUGCAACACUUACUAAUGGCGGAGAAAGGAUGAAAGCGAGGGAGCAUCAGGGGCGCCUCCAAGAGGUGGCUGUGAGGAAGACUAGCCCUCCUCCUCAACUGACUCAUCCUGAUAAAUCUAAAUCUAAAAUCGAUACUCACAGGUAUUGGACGGCUGAAUUGAAAUAAUUAGAGGUGAUGGAGAUGGAGACAAUCUCGAUGAGAAGGUCUCAUGCCGAGCCAUGCUUUGUGUUAACAAACGCAAGGGACGUGCGGCGAAUAAAAAGUCUCUCUCACCGACCUUGUCUGCUAUUGUGUGUUUUUGGUUCAUUAUGUUGGUUCAGAGUCCUUUCUGUGUAUGGCUGGACUAGGAAUUGGGCUAGAGAACUCAUCUUCAACCACAAUUACUUGACUCAGUGGGAAGCAGGCAGCAAGAAGAGGCUCAUGAGUCUAAAUAGUGCCUAACAACAAAUGUACAUAUUUUAGUCCAAAACCCAUUCAUAUACAUUUAUUGUGAAAUUAUUCAAGCAUUGACUCUGUAAAUAUUGCUACACAGAAAUUCGGCACGAUUCACUUUGUAUUCAAUUGUCAAAAAGAAAAUUACAAACUAUUGUUGACAUUUUUUGUUUACUUGUUUCCCUUUGCAGUUUUGCGCAGUACACCUAACCUAAAAUGUUACUUGAACAAUCAGUUUACAUCUCAUAUGGAAUGGCAUUAUUAAUAAAAACGAAUUAUUUAAUACGUACUCAAUUCUCCUACACACAUUGGCGACAGAACAUUGAGUCAUUAACUCAUGGUUUUCAACUAUUAUAAAAGGGAGCUAAAUCUUAAAAACAAUUAUUUUUAACAAAAAGAAUUUCAUUAAAAAAAAAGCACAAAUUCACAGUGCACUGAGGAACUGUAGCAUACAGACUUUUUCAAACAUUAAAGCCUUAUUGUAACUUAAUACAUUUGUGUAUGAAUAUUUAACAGUCUAAUUGCCACAUAAACCAGGUUGGACAGGUAGCGCACUUCGCUAACUUCUAACUUAUUGGGGCUCUCCCUUCUAAUCAUAACUCAUUUUAAUGCAGGGAAAUGUUUGCAAAAGGUGUCAAUUUGAUCGACAAUGUGGCAGGUGACCCAGUUGUAAUUAUGGGUCAGUCAUAAAGUUAACUUCUCAUUGAAAAUUACAGCUACAAUACCAUUGUUUCCAUUUUACUUAAUUCCUGGAACCUCCCAUUUUAUUUGCUUUUAUCAAUUAGUUUUUAUUCCUUGUAUGUGUUAUUUUCAUCGUAACCCUGUUUAUAUUGUCAUUGUGAUCCUGGUUUAAUGUGAUGAAAUGUCUAACUUAAGUAUUGAAAG